CAAGCGGUGGAGCAUGUGGUUUAAUUCGAUGCAACGCGAAGAACCUUACCUACUCUUGACAUCCAGAGAACUGAGCAGAGAUGUUCGGGUGCCUUCGGGAACUCUGAGACAGGUGCUGCAUGGCUGUCGUCAGCUCGUGUUGUGAAAUGUUGGGUUAAGUCCCGCAACGAGCGCAACCCUUAUCCUUUGUUGCCAGCGAUUCGGUCGGGAACUCAAAGGAGACUGCCGGUGAUAAACCGGAGGAAGGUGGGGAUGACGUCAAGUCAUCAUGGCCCUUACGAGUAGGGCUACACACGUGCUACAAUGGCGCAUACAAAGAGAAGCGACCUCGCGAGAGCAAGCGGACCUCAUAAAGUGCGUCGUAGUCCGGAUUGGAGUCUGCAACUCGACUCCAUGAAGUCGGAAUCGCUAGUAAUCGUGAAUCAGAAUGUCACGGUGAAUACGUUCCCGGGCCUUGUACACACC
This 465-nucleotide ribosomal RNA is filed under the name uncultured bacterium. RNAcentral's name for it is "bacterial SSU rRNA". It matches the Rfam family "Bacterial small subunit ribosomal RNA", at positions 926 to 1391 of the family's 1533-position model. The record is from RNAcentral.